CCUACGGGUGGCAGCAGUGAGGAAUAUUGGUCAAUGGGCGGGAGCCUGAACCAGCCAAGUCGCGUGAGGGAAGACGGUCCUAUGGAUUGUAAACCUCUUUAGUCGGGGAGCAAGGCCGGGCACGCGUGCCCGGAGGGAGAGUACCCGCAGAAGAAGCAGCGGCGAACUCCGUGCCAGCAGCCGCGGUAAUACGGAGGAUGCGAGCGUUAUCCGGAUUUAUUGGGUUGAAAGGGUGCGUAGGCGGAUUUUUAAGUCAGCGGUAAAAUGUCCGGGCUCAACCCGGGCCGGCCGUUGAAACUUGUGUUCUUGCGUGGGCGAGAGGUCUGCGGCAUGCGUGGUGUAGCGGUGAAAUGCAUCGAUAUCACGCAGAACUCCGAUUGCGCAGGCAGCAUACCGGCGCCCGACUGACGCUGAGGCACUCAGGCGUGGGGAUCGAACAGGAUUAGAUACCCCUGUAGUC
Molecule: ribosomal RNA, 460 nt
Filed under: uncultured bacterium
Lineage: Bacteria
Description: partial 16S ribosomal RNA
Rfam family: Bacterial small subunit ribosomal RNA
Source: RNAcentral